GGCAGGAAAUUUGAUACAGCCUCAGACUACGAAUCUGGGGGUCAGAGGUUCGAAUCCUUUCGGGCGCGCCA
This 71-nucleotide transfer RNA is filed under the name Paenochrobactrum gallinarii. RNAcentral's name for it is "tRNA-Arg". The record is from RNAcentral. Lineage: Bacteria; Pseudomonadati; Pseudomonadota; Alphaproteobacteria; Hyphomicrobiales; Brucellaceae.